This 67-nucleotide transfer RNA is filed under the name Euphyllura phillyreae. Its description in RNAcentral is "tRNA-Ser". The record is from RNAcentral. Lineage: Eukaryota; Metazoa; Arthropoda; Insecta; Hemiptera; Liviidae.
GCUUUAUAAUUUAUUUAAAAUAUCUACCUUGAAAGUAGAAUAAGAAUUUAUUAUGUUCUAAAGCUUA